CUAAGGCUAAAUACUCUCUAGUGACCGAUAGUGAACCAGUACCGUGAGGGAAAGGUGAAAAGCACCCCGGAAGGGGAGUGAAAUAGAACCUGAAACCGUGUGCUUACAAGUAGUCAGAGCCCGUUAAUGGGUGAUGGCGUGCCUUUUGUAGAAUGAACCGGCGAGUUACGAUUUGAUGCAAGGUUAAGCAGUAAAUGUGGAGCCGUAGCGAAAGCGAGUCUGAAUAGGGCGUUUAGUAUUUGGUCGUAGACCCGAAACCAGGUGAUCUACCCUUGGUCAGGUUGAAGUUCAGGUAACACUGAAUGGAGGACCGAACCGACUUACGUUGAAAAGUGAGCGGAUGAACUGAGGGUAGCGGAGAAAUUCCAAUCGAACCUGGAGAUAGCUGGUUCUCUCCGAAAUAGCUUUAGGGCUAGCCUCAAGUGAUGAUUAUUGGAGGUAGAG
RNAcentral lists this ribosomal RNA (444 nucleotides) under Staphylococcus aureus. RNAcentral describes it as "partial 23S ribosomal RNA". It matches the Rfam family "Bacterial large subunit ribosomal RNA", at positions 460 to 907 of the family's 2925-position model. The record is from RNAcentral. Lineage: Bacteria; Bacillati; Bacillota; Bacilli; Caryophanales; Staphylococcaceae.